ACAUCUCAACUCCUCACGGUUUGCCCGUGAUGAGCUUGGACUUUGGGGGUCUUGCCGGCCUGCAGGUCGGCUCCUCUCAAAUGAAUCAGCUUGCCGGUGUUUGGUGGCGUCACAGGUGUGAUAACUAUUUACACUUGUGGUUUUCUGCCAAGCAACCUCCAGCGAUGGGGGUUCACUGGAGCUCACAAACGUCUCUCCUCGGUGAGGACGGCUUUUUGAAC
This 221-nucleotide unclassified non-coding RNA is filed under the name uncultured Thelephoraceae. Its description in RNAcentral is "sequence contains ITS2". Lineage: Eukaryota; Fungi; Basidiomycota; Agaricomycetes; Thelephorales; Thelephoraceae. The record is from RNAcentral.